AUUCAAAUAACUUAUAUUAGAGUAUAACAUUGAAGAUGUUAAGGAGAUUACAUAAUCUUUGAAUA
This 65-nucleotide transfer RNA is filed under the name Janthinomyia sp. PH-2020. RNAcentral describes it as "tRNA-Phe". The record is from RNAcentral. Lineage: Eukaryota; Metazoa; Arthropoda; Insecta; Diptera; Tachinidae.